UGGGGAAUCUUGCGCAAUGGGCGAAAGCCUGACGCAGCGACGCCGCGUGGGGGAAGAAGGCCUUAGGGUUGUAAACCUCUUUCAGCAGGGACGAAGCCACUCGGGUUAAUAGCCCAGAGGGUGACGGUACCUGCAGAAGAAGCCCCGGCUAACUACGUGCCAGCAGCCGCGGUAAUACGUAGGGGGCAAGCGUUGUCCGGAUUUAUUGGGCGUAAAGAGCGUGUAGGCGGCCGCACAGGUCCGUUGUGAAAACUGGAGGCUCAACCUCCAGACGUCGAUGGAAACCGUGCGGCUAGAGUCCGGAAGAGGAGAGUGGAAUUCCUGGUGUAGCGGUGAAAUGCGCAGAUAUCAGGAAGAACACCCGUGGCGAAGGCGGCUCUCUGGGACGGUACUGACGCUGAGACGCGAAAGCGUGGGGAGCGAACAGGAUUAGAUACCCUGGUAGUCCACGCCGUAAACGAUGGGUGCUAGGUGUGGGGGGUGUCGACUCCCCCCGUGCCGAAGCUAACGCAUUAAGCACCCCGCCUGGGGAGUACGGCCGCAAGGCUAA
RNAcentral lists this ribosomal RNA (550 nucleotides) under uncultured Actinomycetes bacterium. RNAcentral describes it as "bacterial SSU rRNA". It matches the Rfam family "Bacterial small subunit ribosomal RNA", at positions 355 to 897 of the family's 1533-position model. The record is from RNAcentral. Lineage: Bacteria; Bacillati; Actinomycetota; Actinomycetes.